UAGCUUAGUUGGUAAAGCACUCGUCUAGCAUACAAAAAUCGUGGGUUCGAAUCCCAC
This 57-nucleotide transfer RNA is filed under the name Aedes aegypti (yellow fever mosquito). It matches the Rfam family "tRNA", at positions 8 to 63 of the family's 71-position model. Rfam says of the family: Transfer RNA (tRNA) molecules are approximately 80 nucleotides in length. Their secondary structure includes four short double-helical elements and three loops (D, anti-codon, and T loops). Lineage: Eukaryota; Metazoa; Arthropoda; Insecta; Diptera; Culicidae. The record is from Rfam by way of RNAcentral.